AUACUCAAUCUAAUUUUAUUUUUAUGCAAGGGUUAUGCCAUUACAUUAUGCCAAAGUAAUGGCCGAAAGUUAUGCUGCUGUGAUGGGAGUGAUGUGAGGAAACUGCCAGCGACUGCUGGUGCUGGGGUAGCACUCAGCACUGCCAGAUUUUCUUCAUUUGUGCGAGACAUUGUGAAUGAUGUGCUGAGGCCUUUCUAUUACUCCACCGCCGGCGCCCGUGGUCCACCUGUAAGAAGAUAGCGUUAAAAGCUGCUGGAGUUUCUACCUCUUGACAACAUCCCAGCUGUAGACUAGCAAUAGCAAUCCUCCCGUGGCAGUUUUAAUUAUCGGCCCCGGCGAUACCAUCAGUAAGUGUGUAAUUACGUGUCACUUUCCUGGCUGUUGGGUAUGAAAAGUGGAACCAGUGAGAUGAUGAUCGUUGAAGCUGUAGACUCAUAUUUAAACAAUUCAAAAUGUGUAACUGGCAGUGUCAUUAAACAGAGAGAGUCUGACCCCA
RNAcentral lists this long non-coding RNA (496 nucleotides) under Anas platyrhynchos platyrhynchos (common mallard). RNAcentral describes it as "lncRNA (ENSAPLG00000027565.1)". The record is from RNAcentral. Lineage: Eukaryota; Metazoa; Chordata; Aves; Anseriformes; Anatidae.